Perca flavescens (yellow perch) is the source of this 438-nucleotide long non-coding RNA. RefSeq lists it as uncharacterized. The transcript has 3 exons. NCBI's taxonomy places the organism in Eukaryota, Metazoa, Chordata, Actinopteri, Perciformes, Percidae. The record is from RefSeq and is a predicted model, not a curated record.
UGAAAGUUGUAAGUCUUCUGGUAGCUGUGCCAAGAGAAAUCUCAGUCAUUACGAAUCUCGCAGAGACCGUGAUGGAUCACGAGAAGAAACUUUUGGACCCAGCAGCAUCCUCCACCUCGGGGACAGCAGGAGAGACUAUGGCCAUGAAGCCUUCAGUACAAGUCCAAAUAGGAACAUAGAGGAACUCUGUGCAGAUCCCGCUGUUACCUGCUUCCUACCUGCCGUGCUCUGCCGUGCUACCUGCCUCACGCCACUCAGACACAACCACCUGCUUCUCCUGGAUUCUACUCAGAACGUCUUUGGAUCUGCCACUGCCUGGUUCCCUCAAGCUGCAGUCCAUUCCCAGAAGACUACAAGCUCAGCCUUGAUUGUUCAUCUCCUCUGAGUAAUUAUGCCUAAUAAAUUCUUGAACUGUUUAUCUGUGUCCUGAGUGGUAUC